RNAcentral lists this ribosomal RNA (496 nucleotides) under uncultured bacterium. RNAcentral describes it as "partial 16S ribosomal RNA". It matches the Rfam family "Bacterial small subunit ribosomal RNA", at positions 29 to 507 of the family's 1533-position model. The record is from RNAcentral.
AUGAACGCUGGCGGCGUGCCUAAUACAUGCAAGUCGCGCGAACAGACGAGGAGCUUGCUCCUCUGACGUUAGCGGCGGACGGGUGAGUAACACGUGGAUAACCUACCUAUAAGACUGGGAUAACUUCGGGAAACCGGAGCUAAUACCGGAUAAUAUAUUGAACUGCAUGGUUCAAUAGUGAAAGACGGUUUUGCUGUCACUUAUAGAUGGAUCCGCGCCGCAUUAGCUAGUUGGUAAGGUAACGGCUUACCAAGGCGACGAUGCGUAGCCGACCUGAGAGGGUGAUCGGCCACACUGGAACUGAGACACGGUCCAGACUCCUACGGGAGGCAGCAGUAGGGAAUCUUCCGCAAUGGGCGAAAGCCUGACGGAGCAACGCCGCGUGAGUGAUGAAGGUCUUCGGAUCGUAAAACUCUGUUAUUAGGGAAGAACAAAUGUGUAAGUAACUAUGCACGUCUUGACGGUACCUAAUCAGAAAGCCACGGCUAACUACGUG